AGAAGACCGAGAGCCACCACAAGGCCAAGGGGAAGUGAUUUGGCAAGCAUCUUCGUUUCCGGAAGCGUUUUCAAACCCAAAGGCUCUUUUCAGAGCCCCCCCACCAAUUCAAUAGAAGAGCUAAUACCACUCUUUAAGCUUAAGGGGAAAAAUUGGCAAAGUAGAAAAUCCCUUCAGAAAAUCUAAUUUGCGCUGGCAUCUUAUUUGGAGAGCUUCAAAGAAACACCGAAGGUGCCAAUUGACCGGCUCUUACCUAAGAGCUACUGCCAGAAGGCUCUCUGGAGGACAUUCCUCAAAGAUCCGUCCUAGCUCCCCCCCCCCAACAUGCUUCUUUUUUCCUUUUACUUUGAAGCAUCACUGUUUAUAUCCAAAAGCCCUGGUUACAUCUUUGGAAAAUUCUCCAGUGAGCAAUAAAUUCUCAGUAGCUUCAGUUGGUUUCCAGCCGUUGAGCAGGUCUCCAUCCGCCAUGCCUCAAGGGUCCCGGGGAGGACCAUUUCAAUUGGGACAAGUUCAUGAGAGCGAUAAACCCAGGCCUUCCAAUUACUGAGGCACCUGGACACCAGGGACAGAAGUUGAUCUCAGGGGUUUACUGAGGCGUGAGGCUAAGACAGAAUCAUUAUUUGAAUAUAUAUAGGGCAUUCCUAACAAAGCAGAUCAGUACGACACAAUAUAGCCAAUUAGAAAAUCCCUUUUUAUAUUUCCAAAUCACCUAUGCAGCUUUCCUUUCCUCCGUCCCCCAUACAGUCACUUACCAGUUUUUUAUGUAUCAUUGGAACUCUUUUUUUAUGAGGAUGAUACAUUUUAUAAUUAGUUAUAAAAAUUGUAUGUAUUUUCAAGUCGAUUACAUUACUGUCUAAGGGUUUGUCAUCUUUUGAUUGUAAGUUAUAAUUAUAAAUGUAAAUAUUCCUGUUAAAUAUAAUGCAUGUGUAAUAUUAGAAGAUGUUAGGAAUUUAACUGAGGAUUACCCAUGCAUGCUGAAAUCGAGAAUAAGGCCUCAUAUGUAGACUAUGACAUGCAAACUUGAAAAUAGAGUGAAGUUGCAGGCAUGGGAUUGGUGUAGUCUGCUUAAAAAAUAGCAGCACUUCAUUGGACUGCGUUACAUUGCCCCUGUUUGCUUCAGUUGUACUCUGGGCAGGGCGGCGGAACCAGCAUCCCUUGGGGCUUAAGACUAAUGCACGUCAGUAGAGUUGGGGCUCCUGGUGAAAGAAGCAAGUUGCUAAGCUUCAGACUUUGCUGUAGGUUGUUUGUCUGCCACCUGGAGCUUCAACCUUGAGCACAUUCCUCAUCGUCAGAAACACCAGGCGGUGGCAGGUGAGCAAGUCCAUUCCCUCCUGCCUUUGGUGAUAGCCAGAGCCGGGAGCACUGGGCUUGACCUGACACCACAACAAACUGUCUUUGCAUUAAAGAUGGGUCUCAAGGAGGCCAGACCAUCAAAUCACGUGCUCUAAAUUUUAGAACCUUGGAGCUUGGUACUAGCUCCUAUUCUUGAUGGUUUCAUCAAUAGUGCAGUUUUAAAGCCCACCUGGUAAACUUCCAAGUUUACGUCUCCAGCCUUGCCCUCUCCUACAACGUGCAGAUGUGUGUACACACAUUUCUCCUUAACGCCUUCACUUGGAACUCUCUUCUCAACUGAAAGAUGUCUAAGAUACAGGAAUUGACCCCGUAUACC
This is a long non-coding RNA of Ailuropoda melanoleuca (giant panda), 1669 nucleotides long. Lineage: Eukaryota; Metazoa; Chordata; Mammalia; Carnivora; Ursidae. The record is from Ensembl.